RNAcentral lists this transfer RNA (71 nucleotides) under Nicotiana sylvestris (wood tobacco). It matches the Rfam family "tRNA". Rfam says of the family: Transfer RNA (tRNA) molecules are approximately 80 nucleotides in length. Their secondary structure includes four short double-helical elements and three loops (D, anti-codon, and T loops). The record is from Rfam by way of RNAcentral. RNAcentral also lists the same sequence under 1 other name. Lineage: Eukaryota; Viridiplantae; Streptophyta; Magnoliopsida; Solanales; Solanaceae.
GCUCUCAUAGCCCAGUUGGUUAGAGCACCCACUUAGUAAGUGGAGGUCUUGAGUUCGACUCAACGAGAGCA